RNAcentral lists this long non-coding RNA (266 nucleotides) under Ananas comosus (pineapple). RNAcentral's name for it is "long non-coding RNA (ACOM_LNC008242)". The record is from RNAcentral. Lineage: Eukaryota; Viridiplantae; Streptophyta; Magnoliopsida; Poales; Bromeliaceae.
AAUAAUCAAAAAAUUGAACAUAUAUAUGUGUCCGGCUUAUACUAUCGAUAGUAUCAAUCUCUUGAUACUAUCGAGUUUUCUAUCGUUAAAUCUACUUUUUGAUCAUUUCCAUCCGUCAGAUUAUAUUAUUCAAUCAACCAUUUACUCAACCCUAGAAAUUUGUUAUCAUCUUAUCCGCAUAUUUUUUUAUCCAACGGUCGAAAAUUCGAUCGUACCAAACAAUUGGUACUAUCCAUGGUGUAGUAGCAUAAUUAUAUAUAUAUAUA